This 210-nucleotide ribosomal RNA is filed under the name Triticum aestivum (bread wheat). RNAcentral's name for it is "partial small subunit ribosomal RNA". Lineage: Eukaryota; Viridiplantae; Streptophyta; Magnoliopsida; Poales; Poaceae. The record is from RNAcentral.
AUGCUUGUUGCAACAAAGAAACAUGUUCUUUAUGAUUUGAUCUACUUACUCAUCAAAUUGAUAUUGAUUUUACCGGUGGCGACGACGAGUGUUGAGAGAGUGUUUUCAGCAAUGAAUCUAGUGAAAAAUAAGUUGAGGACUACUAUGAGUGAUGAUUGCUUGAAUGAUUCCUUGGUACAUUUAUUGAACGGGAUGUGUCCAUGGAAGUAA